Molecule: ribosomal RNA, 720 nt
Filed under: Microbacterium sp. S3D
Lineage: Bacteria; Bacillati; Actinomycetota; Actinomycetes; Micrococcales; Microbacteriaceae
Description: bacterial SSU rRNA
Rfam family: Bacterial small subunit ribosomal RNA
Source: RNAcentral
UUUGAUCCUGGCUCAGGAUGAACGCUGGCGGCGUGCUUAACACAUGCAAGUCGAACGGUGAAGCAGGAGCUUGCUCUUGUGGAUCAGUGGCGAACGGGUGAGUAACACGUGAGCAACCUGCCCCUGACUCUGGGAUAAGCGCUGGAAACGGCGUCUAAUACUGGAUAUGUGACGUGACCGCAUGGUCUGCGUUUGGAAAGAUUUUUCGGUUGGGGAUGGGCUCGCGGCCUAUCAGCUUGUUGGUGAGGUAAUGGCUCACCAAGGCGUCGACGGGUAGCCGGCCUGAGAGGGUGACCGGCCACGCUGGGACUGAGACACGGCCCAGACUCCUACGGGAGGCAGCAGUGGGGAAUAUUGCACAAUGGGCGAAAGCCUGAUGCAGCAACGCCGCGUGAGGGAUGACGGCCUUCGGGUUGUAAACCUCUUUUAGCAGGGAAGAAGCGAAAGUGACGGUACCUGCAGAAAAAGCGCCGGCUAACUACGUGCCAGCAGCCGCGGUAAUACGUAGGGCGCAAGCGUUAUCCGGAAUUAUUGGGCGUAAAGAGCUCGUAGGCGGUUUGUCGCGUCUGCUGUGAAAUCCCGAGGCUCAACCUCGGGCCUGCAGUGGGUACGGGCAGACUAGAGUGCGGUAGGGGAGAUUGGAAUUCCUGGUGUAGCGGUGGAAUGCGCAGAUAUCAGGAGGAACACCGAUGGCGAAGGCAGAUCUCUGGGCCGUAACUG